This 441-nucleotide ribosomal RNA is filed under the name uncultured bacterium. Its description in RNAcentral is "partial 16S ribosomal RNA". It matches the Rfam family "Bacterial small subunit ribosomal RNA", at positions 338 to 795 of the family's 1533-position model. The record is from RNAcentral.
CCUACGGGCGGCAGCAGUGAGGAAUAUUGCACAAUGGGGGGAACCCUGAUGCAGCGACGCCGCGUGGGUGAAGGAGUGCUUCGGCAUGUAAAGCCCUAUCGGCAGGGAAGAAGCAAGACGGUACCUGACUAAGAAGCCCCGGCUAACUACGUGCCAGCAGCCGCGGUAAUACGUAGGGGGCGAGCGUUAUCCGGAUUCACUGGGUGUAAAGGGAGCGUAGACGGCCAUGCAAGCCAGGGGUGAAAGCCCGGGGCCCAACCCCGGGACUGCCCUUGGAACUGUGCGGCUAGAGUGCGGGAGGGGCAGGCGGAAUUCCUGGGGUAGCGGUGAAAUGCGUAGAUAUCAGGAGGAACACCGGCGGCGAAGGCGGCCUGCUGGACCGCGACUGACGUUGAGGCUCGAAAGCGUGGGGAGCGAACAGGAUUAGAUACCCUUGUAGUC